AACUAGGGAGCUUGUAACAGCACUUGACUUUUAAUCAAGAGAUAAUAUCCAUAUUUCUAGUUA
RNAcentral lists this transfer RNA (63 nucleotides) under Amynthas conformis. RNAcentral's name for it is "tRNA-Lys". Lineage: Eukaryota; Metazoa; Annelida; Clitellata; Crassiclitellata; Megascolecidae. The record is from RNAcentral.